AGAGUUUGAUCCUGGCUCAGAGCGAACGCUGGCGGCGUGCUUAACACAUGCAAGUCGAACGCGCAGCAUUCUGUAGCAAUACAGGGUGUGGGCGCGUGGCGAACGGGUGCGUAACACGUGGAUAACCUUCCUUGAGGUGGGGAAUAACCCAGUGAAAAUUGGGCUAAUACCGCAUAACAUGACGAUGGCACAUGCUGUUGUCUUCAAAGGCGCAAGUCGCCACAAGAGGGAUCCGCGGCCGAUUAGCUUGUUGGCGAGGUAAUGGCUCACCAAGGCAAUGAUCGGUAGCCGGACUGAGAGGUUGGCCGGCCACACUGGAACUGAGACACGGUCCAGACUCCUACGGGAGGCAGCAGUGGGGAAUCUUGCACAAUGGACGAAAGUCUGAUGCAGCAACGCCGCGUGGGGGAUGAAGCUUCUCGGAGUGUAAACCCCUUUCGACCCGGAAGAAUGCCCGCAAGGGUUUGACGGUACGGGUAUAAGAAGCCCCGGCUAACUACGUGCCAGCAGCCGCGGUAAUACGUAGGGGGCCAGCGUUGCUCGGAAUUACUGGGCGUAAAGGGUCCGUAGGCGGUGCGGCAAGUCGAGAGUGAAAUCCCUAGGCUUAACCUAGGGGCUGCUAGCGAAACUGCCGUGCUAGAGUGUGAGAGAGGCGAGUGGAAUUACGGGUGUAGCGGUGAAAUGCGUAGAUAUCCGUAGGAACAUCCGAGGCGAAAGCGGCUCGCUGGAUCACAACUGACGCUGAGGGACGAAAGCUAGGGGAGCAAACAGGAUUAGAUACCCUGGUAGUCCUAGCCCUAAACCAUCAGACUUGGGGUUUGCCCUGUACGGGGCAAGUCCCGUAGCUAACGCGUUAAGUCCUGCGCCUGGGGAGUACGGUCGCAAGGCUGAAACUCAAAGGAAUUGACGG
RNAcentral lists this ribosomal RNA (910 nucleotides) under uncultured bacterium. RNAcentral's name for it is "bacterial SSU rRNA". It matches the Rfam family "Bacterial small subunit ribosomal RNA", at positions 8 to 916 of the family's 1533-position model. The record is from RNAcentral.